Long non-coding RNA from Anguilla rostrata (American eel), 6863 nucleotides. RefSeq lists it as uncharacterized. The record is from RefSeq and is a predicted model, not a curated record. The transcript has 2 exons. NCBI's taxonomy places the organism in Eukaryota, Metazoa, Chordata, Actinopteri, Anguilliformes, Anguillidae.
AGUCUGUUUAUUUUUCCACACAGCAUCAAAUGAAUGGUGAUUGUGGACAGGGAGGUCUAUAAAAACGUAUUUCAGAUUCAGCUAUUCAGAGGGAGGGAGAGAGAGAGAGUGAGAGGGAGAGAGAUUAAUGCAUAUUAAUGUCACUGUGUAGUUUUACACUUUUGCAAUACAUGUUCUGUUGUCAUGCAAAUAAAGCAUGGAUGAAUUUGAGAGAGAGGGAGAGAAGGGGGGUGGUUGAGGGGAGAGAGGGAAACAGAGGCACAUUUCAUAAAAAGGAGUCCUACACGGCUUCAGCUUUUCCUCCAGUGGUUGAUUAUUGAAGGUGACAGUGAAGUUGUCUUUUGACAUUAUUCUGUCAUAGCGCCUUCCUAGCACAUCGAUCAAAAAAUACUUAUCUCACUGGCACAGAGAAGAGGGGGCACUGCCUACACACACAAACACACACACACACAGGCUCAGAACGUAGAAUGAAAAUGCAGAAGGAUAAGAUUCCGUGUCCUCAGAUUACGGCUGGAUACAUAUUUAUGAGAAUCUGAGAGUCCCAGCUGAGGAUAUCUAUCAAGUCUUCUCUCAACAAGGGCCUGUAUGUUUUUACACUGAGAAUAGAAUAAUUUAAACCUUGAAGUAGAAUACCUCUGCAGAUUUGUGUGAGAUGGAUAAAUUAAAAAAAACAACCCUCCUCUCAUUCAUGGAUUAAAAUUUAUUUUGGAUUGGAUUGAAAAGGAACAAAAUCACACACACAGACCAAGAUCUUUUUAGUUUGUGAAGUUUUAAUUAACAGCUGUAAAAACUGCCAUCCAUUCAGGUAUUUAGCUAGGAAAAUGACUAUUUCCUUGCGUUAUGUAACAACACUUUUUGCCAGUGUGAUUGAUGCACUGUACUGCAUAGCAACAGCACGAAGCAUGACUCAAUAGAAAGGAAAACAGUGUGUUGCUGUGUAAUUAUUGGAUAUAUCAGAUUUUAGAUUCUGAUUUAGAGUUCUGAGAAUAAUUAGUCAGCCAUGCCAUUUUAAUAUUGAAAAAGUUUCUAUGUGGAAUUGAAGUUCUUGAAUAUAUGUGCAUAAACUUACAACAGCCCCCCUUGAAGACUGAUAAUUGAAAGAUAGAAGCUUGCAGUACAUCUUGCCAUGGAAGCUGUUAUUCCAAAUCAUGUUUCCCUGUUGAAUGGUGGUUGGCUUCAGGGUUUCCAGGCUGUAUAUUUGUUCCCCAAUAUAGGGGAGUUUGAAAAAUUCAUAAGUAAAACUUAAUGGGAGACACUGAUAGAUUGAGGAUUUAAAAACAGGUAUAUGGUGAAAAUGUCAUUAAAUUUUGUAUGGGAGCCAAUGGAAAACUGAGGAUUAUUUUAGUGGAAGAAAUUCCCAAGCAUGUGGCAACAGCUGGUUGGUCUAAUGGGAAGCAAGGCCCCAUGGGACCUGUAGUCCACAAAGUAGACUAUAAGCAGUUACUUAUUUAGUAUCACUCACAGUGAUGCUCUCUACUCCUUUUGGUCUGUGUAAGAGCCAUUCCUUUUGAUCAAAUGAAGCCAUUGGAAAAAGCAUCCUCCAAACCCCCAGGGGGCGAUCUUUCACAUGUGCCACACUUGAACAACUGCAGCUGCGUUUCUCAUGAGUUAAAAAAAAAAUCAAUAAACAGAAAAGAGGAGUCCACAGAGGUUUCUGGGAAAUAAAUAAAAAAUGGCGGUUUUCCAUAAGCCCUCCCUGGGGGGUACAGAGUCUCAAGGCUGACCCAUCUGCCCCCCCGCCCCCCACACACAAGCCCCUCGGGUUGUUUGUGUUUGUACGUUUGUCUGCGUUACUAUAUUUUGCAUUCACUGCAUGAGAGAAUCAUCAUAAGUUUUAAGUUCGUUUAAGUUCAUGCCUUUGCAAUGUGGAUUCCUUUCUAAUUUGGUUGACCCACUAUAGAUCGACUCCUUGACCAAUAAACGGCAGGUGAUUCUCCAUUUAGGAAGUCGACGGGAAGAAUGCCUAAUGUAAAGCACGCCCAAUGGCUGUCUUUGACAUGCACCGCCAUCUCAGAUGCGUGGGCUGAGCCAGGAUUUUCGAGGUCUGAAGCGCACAUUUGGCGUGCGCGUCGAACGAGGAAUCGUGAAAAAUGUACAUUUGUGCACAGAUGGCGUCCAUUGAGGGAUCGCAGCUCUGAUGAAUAAUAAUAGAGACUCUUUUCUGGCCAUCUUGUAGAUUCUGGCAUGUUCUGCGAAGUGUGUUCCUUGCAACAUGGAGUGUGCCAGGGCCUGCUGCCUUAAGCUAGGGGACUGGGGAUUCUGUUACCCCAGCGGAUACUUACCCCUCUCUUUGACACAGAGUCAUGUCUCCCUAUCGUUGAAACUGGAACAUUCCUGUACUGUGGUGUGGCAAUGCCGUGGCAAACGGGUGGUCUGUUCUGUGAAAUAUCACAGAGAAAACGUCCUUGACCAAUCAGAAGCCUCCUGUAGUUGAAAAGCAGCAGGAGGAGGGAAGGAGCACGGGAGCUGAGCGUCUGGUGCGUCUGUAGGAUCUGUGGUGACGCUAAAAGAUGAAGUUACAAAUGUGUUUCCUCCUCCCAGUACAAGUAUUCUUCAUACUUCAAAACGUACAAUCUAUUUAAUCUGAAAUGCCCUUGAUCCGGGGUACAACAGCAGUGCCCCAUCUGGGAAUCGAAACGGCAACCUCUGGAUUUCAAGCCCAGUUGCCUAAUUGCUGCACUACACUGCUGCCUGUGCUGUGGUUUAGAUUUUGAAGACAGAGUGGCUCAGGUGGGCUGUGCUCUUGUCUGAGUCAAUCUGUUGAUUUCCACAUAAUUCACUAGUUAGCCAGCAACUUUUCGUUCUUUCUUUGUUUUGGGUCAUGUUAUGUUUCGGGAUUGCCUGUAAUGUUUCUAUGGUGACGGUGUACCUCUGUUGGUGCAGUUUCCACAUAAGCUGUACUGUAUGUUUGCCCAGAAAUACCAGGCUCAUUUCUCUCUUUCAAUGACAGAAACUACUUUGCUCUCAAAGAAUCUCUUGUUUGUUACCCAGUUUUUAAUUGUGUGCUUUCAUUAAAUAUGUACAUUAGCAGUCAGAACCAAUUUGUCAUAAUUGCCUCUGCUUGAUCAGAAAACCUGCUCAUCAAACAAUGCACUAUACCAUUCAUGCAGAUUAUCGGUUUAAAACAGGGAUCUGAGAUUCAAAAGCUGGAGAGCUGCAGUGUUUGCUGAAUUUCAGCAGUUGAGUACUUAAUUGGAAUCAUUGACUGGCACACGCUGUGCACGUUUGACACAAUUCUGCAAUUAAAAUUCAAAGAAGAAAACACCACCCUGUCACAAUUUUUACCACAGUACAUUUUUUUCCCCCCCUCAUAGAAUUUUCACUCAAGGCUUAAAAUAUGUAGUAUGCUGCUACAUCCAAAAUGCAAAACUGGGAGUUUGGAGGUAAGGAAAGGUUCAUAUUUGGGUCAAAAGACUUUAGUCAGUGUGAGUGUGAUUUUCUGUCUUUAUGUGGUGGCCUGCUUGACUAGUGGUGUACAGGGAGUGUGUACAGAGCGUGUUCAGUUCAUUCAAUUCCGUUCAAUCUCCAAUAAUGUCAUUGAAUAUUCAUGGCUUUUGUGAAUGGCCAAUAAAUUACAUCGAGAGACUUUGUCAGCUCCACCCCAGGGAGAGCAUCAGGCUUUCAUUUACCGAUUGCAGAGUGCUGAGCAGGGAAGGAUCGAUCCCGCGGCGCGCUACAUGCUAUACAUGCUAACGCAGUCGGCCGUCCCGUCCCUGAUCUCUCUUAGCGGUGGGGUUUCCAUUUAUUCAGCGGCGUUGCAUCAUUUAGGGUUGGUUUCUGAUCGGAAUAUCCGGCUUUGAAAUUAUUUGUACCGGUCUGGUUUGUGGGCCCGACUGAACAAUAGAAUGUGCGGGCUGAGGAAAUUGAUUUUUUUUAAAUUAGCCAUUAGUUUUUAGUGAAUUCGCAUCUGAACCACCCUCAGUCUGUGAUCCAUUCCUACGACCCAUUGUACGGCUCCAAAAUACGAUUGCACUACCAGCAGUGUAUGUUGUCAGGUUUUGAGAAGAUUCUAAAUCUGGCAACACUACCAUAACAUCGUUGCAGGGUAUCUGCGUGAGAUCAUUUCCCCACACAAACCUGCCCUGAUACAAGUGUUGUUCCCAUAUCGCACCUGAGGAAGACCAAGAAUGAUAUGCUGAGCGCACCCUCUUAUCUUCGGAUAACACUGAAUGCUACACAGUGCUCAUCCCCUCCUUUCUGUAGAACUUCAUUUAUUAUUCAGUUCGGGUUCUUAUCAGGAUUACAAAAACAUGGAAUUUCUCUCCUUCUUGCAUUUCAGAAAUUGGUGGAUUUGCCGGAUUUGCUCAGAACGUAUUUUUCAUUAAUUUGCCUAAUGGUGUUUGCGAUUUGUGGGACACGCUGCAGAUAAGACUGAGGAUUUGGCCUUCUUUGUGUAGGUUAAAUCUCUCAUUUUACUCACUUUGGUAGAACGUCUUGCCGUUUUUUAAUUUUUACUUGCGACAGAUACGCGGGCUUGGUUGAUGAGUUGUCUGUUGCCUUGGACACGGUCUAACAGUCUUAUACCUGUGUUCUCAGACCUGAGGUUUUAGGGUGGUUCAUGGGAUGACUAUAUCAAGCAUUACAUGAGCUUAGCAUAUGCUAAAAAAAAAACACAAAAACAAAGUUGAUUUGACAAAUGGGGGGAAAAAAUCAUGUUUGAACAGAUGUUAAGCUCCAUUUUAAUAAGAGAUCUGGGUCACAGGAAGAGCAUUUGCUCAUGAAGUGGGUUGUGGGCUCGGAAAGUUUGGAAACCUCUUUUGUACAUCAUGCAAAAUGUUUCACUUUUGACCCUGGAGAGAGAAAUAUCUCAUUCCUGAUUAAUCUCCCUUUUGUCCACUUGGUAUCCAUAGUGAUGCCUUGGUUAUCAUAAGCAUGGCUGUUCAUAUUUUCUGUCCAACACAAAUAAAACUGGUCACCCGAGAAGCGGCUUAUCUUGUGCAUGUUCCUUUAUAUUUUUUCUGUUAAAAUAAAAUAAAAAUGAAAUUUUAUCCCCAGAUGAUGAACAUCGCUUUCUAGCUUGGCAUAGCAUGGCAGUCAGCAAGGUGGCUGUCAAUUAUUCAGUCGGUAGGGCUGAGUUGAUUUAGCCGUCUGCUGCAGGUAACGCAUUUUACGCCAGAUCUUUUUGACUUGAACAUGUACAGCACACUGCCUCAAUCUUCCUUUUCACCAGAAUCUUUCUAGUGCGCAGUACGGUUACGGUUAGCGAAGGUUAGUAAAUCAUGCCAGCGUUUAUAGAUUUGUGCCUUGUUCAGUAAAAUGAAUGGAUUUCUUGUGAAAAACCCCCUCAGUUCUAUAAGAUAUCCUUUACUUUUGAAUACGACGCAUUUCUUUUAAAAUGCUCUUGAUGUUUAAAGAAAAACCAAGUGAAGCGGAACAAGGUUUAUCUUGUCAAUGAUGAUGGCCUUUUGAUAAUUACACACCAGCUGCUAGUCAGACACGCUCAGCUCUGCAUUUUAUUUUGAGGAACAAAUUUAAACGAGAUGCGUCUUUCUUUUCGUUUCUUCACAAGCUUUUAUUAGUUGAACCGACGACUGAAGUGAAAGAUGAGAAAGGAGAGUUUCAACCCAGAAUCCUGGAGCCAAAAUGGACUCCAGGAGCCAAAAUGGAUGACUGCACCUGCGGAGAGGCCACUACUCUCCAUAACGAUAGUGAUUCUGCCAAAAGGAAAUACCUUUUUCUGUUCGGUUGCUGCCUUGACAUCGGCCCUGCUUCUGGCCGCAGUGCGGAUCAAUGAGAAAUCAGUGUUCAUUCAUUCAUUUGUUCCUCACGCUGCUUUAAAAAAGAGAGAGGGGAGGGAGUGCAGCUGGAGAAGAAUAGAUUCUGGAACAGUCGCAGCUGUCCGCAAUCUAGAAUAUUCCCCAAGCACCGGUUGUUUUUAAUGGUUUUUUAAAGUGUUUUCCCAUGGUGCUGUUGACCAUGCCUGCCCUGCUUUGUGUGUUCAUUCAUAUGUGUUAUCUGUGCCGACCCUACAACAGCCUUUUUCCUUAAAGACACAGUGCGGACCAAAUAACAUAUAUUGCAAUAUAUUGAAAUAAAAUAUGAUGCAGCAGUAUAUGUACUGCAUCACUUUACAAUAUAUGGGAAAAUAAAAUCUUCACUUUCAGAUAUUGCAAUAUGUUUUUGAAAAAUAUCGUUGUCACUAUCUAUUUACAAUAUAUUGGAAUACGUUUCAUUUUGGUAAGACUAAUGCCAAAAAUUUGGCAUGUGGAACAUUUAUCGCACAGUAUAUCCUGACAUGUUUUAGCAAAAUAUUUUUCAUUGUUUUCUGUUACCACUUUGCUGGUUUUUAAGGGGCCACUUUAAAAUGCGAUGGACAGCCCACCAUGGUUCGAGCAUGAUGAAGAACGCCCCCCCCUUCCACACACUCACACAUGCCCCAGCCCUUCCCCCGUGGUCAAGAGCGGUUGAUUCCGUUAAAAUGCGCGUUGUCCUCCAGGAGCUGACUUCAGCACGAUGGUCUUGCCGUGUGUCAUGGAGCAGCAGUAGCAGCUGUUUGGGAUUCACACGUGGCGAAGGAGCUCUAAUGAACACCAGAACCAAAACAGCGCAGAAAAGGGAAGAAUUAAGAAAAACUUGAGCAUGAGUUGUAGCGCUGUGUGAGCGUGAGCGUGCGCAUGUAUGCGUAUGUGAGUUAGUCUGUGUGUGUGUACGUGCGUGCAUGUGUGUGUUUGUGUGUGCGAGCACGUAUGUGUGUAUUUCCAUCCAUCUAUACCCACUGUUCCGUUAGGGUCAUAGGAGAUGCUGGAGCCUAUCCCGGCAUGCAUUGUGAGAGGCAGGAAUACACCCUGGACAGGUCGCCAAUCUAUCUCAGUGUGGCGUAUGUUUAUUUGUGUGCGCGUGUGCGCAUUUGUGUAUUUGUGCAG